GACGAACGCUGGCGGCGUGCCUAAUACAUGCAAGUCGAACGCUUCUUUCCUCCCGAGUGCUUGCACUCUAUUGGAAAGAGGAGUGGCGGACGUGUGAGUAACACGUGGGUAACCUACCCAUCAGAGGGGGAUAACACUUGGAAACAGGUGCUAAUACCGCAUAACUGUUUAUGCCGCAUGGCAUAAGAGUGAAAGGCGCUUUCGGGGGUCGUUGAUGCAUGGACCCGCGGUGCAUUAGCUAGUUGGUGAGGGAACGGCUCACCAAGGCCACGAUGCAUACCCGACCUGAAGGGGAGAUCGGCCACCCGGGGAGUGAGACACGGCCCAGACUCCUGCGGGAGGACACAGUAGGGAAUCUUCGGCAAUGGACGAAAGUCGGACCGAGCAACGUCGCGUGAGUGAAGAAGGUGUUCGGAUCGGAGAACUCUGUUGUUAGUGAAGAACAAGGACGUUAGUAACUGAACGUACACUGACGGUAUCUAAACAGAAAGCCACGGCUAACUACGUG
RNAcentral lists this ribosomal RNA (508 nucleotides) under uncultured bacterium. Its description in RNAcentral is "partial 16S ribosomal RNA". It matches the Rfam family "Bacterial small subunit ribosomal RNA", at positions 28 to 507 of the family's 1533-position model. The record is from RNAcentral.